UGGAGAGUUUGAUCCUGGCUCAGGAUGAACGCUGGCGGCGUGCCUAAUACAUGCAAGUCGAGCGAACUGAUUAGAAGCUUGCUUCUAUGACGUUAGCGGCGGACGGGUGAGUAACACGUGGGCAACCUGCCUGUAAGACUGGGAUAACUCCGGGAAACCGGAGCUAAUACCGGAUAACAUUUUCUCUUGCAUAAGAGAAAAUUGAAAGAUGGUUUCGGCUAUCACUUACAGAUGGGCCCGCGGUGCAUUAGCUAGUUGGUGAGGUAACGGCUCACCAAGGCAACGAUGCAUAGCCGACCUGAGAGGGUGAUCGGCCACACUGGGACUGAGACACGGCCCAGACUCCUACGGGAGGCAGCAGUAGGGAAUCUUCCGCAAUGGACGAAAGUCUGACGGAGCAACGCCGCGUGAGUGAUGAAGGCUUUCGGGUCGUAAAACUCUGUUGUUAGGGAAGAACAAGUACAAGAGUAACUGCUUGUACCUUGACGGUACCUAACCAGAAAGCCACGGCUAACUACGUGCCAGCAGCCGCGGUA
RNAcentral lists this ribosomal RNA (536 nucleotides) under Priestia flexa. Its description in RNAcentral is "bacterial SSU rRNA". It matches the Rfam family "Bacterial small subunit ribosomal RNA", at positions 1 to 522 of the family's 1533-position model. The record is from RNAcentral. Lineage: Bacteria; Bacillati; Bacillota; Bacilli; Caryophanales; Bacillaceae.